Molecule: ribosomal RNA, 598 nt
Filed under: uncultured bacterium
Lineage: Bacteria
Description: bacterial SSU rRNA
Rfam family: Bacterial small subunit ribosomal RNA
Source: RNAcentral
CCUACGGGAGGCAGCAGUGGGGAAUAUUGGACAAUGGGGGAAACCCUGAUCCAGCAAUGCCGCGUGAGUGAUGAAGGCCUUAGGGUCGUAAAGCUCUUUUACCAGGGAUGAUAAUGACAGUACCUGGAGAAUAAGCUCCGGCUAACUCCGUGCCAGCAGCCGCGGUAAUACGGAGGGAGCUAGCGUUGUUCGGAAUUACUGGGCGUAAAGCGUGCGUAGGCGGUUAUUCAAGUCAGAGGUGAAAGCCCGGGGCUCAACCCCGGAACGGCCUUUGAAACUAGAUAACUAGAAUCUUGGAGAGGUCAGUGGAAUUCCGAGUGUAGAGGUGAAAUUCGUAGAUAUUCGGAAGAACACCAGUGGCGAAGGCGACUGACUGGACAAGUAUUGACGCUGAGGUACGAAAGCGUGGGGAGCAAACAGGAUUAGAUACCCUGGUAGUCCACGCCGUAAACGAUGAUAACUAGCUGUCCGGACACUUGGUGUUUGGGUGGCGCAGCUAACGCAUUAAGUUAUCCGCCUGGGGAGUACGGUCGCAAGAUUAAAACUCAAAGAGUAGUGGACGUGNGAAGUAGUCGACGACGACGACGAGGAGGAGGAG